GAUCGUGCUCUCGAUAUUUUUCGUCGUUCUAUUAAAUAAAAACAUUUAUCGCGGAAACCGUUUAUAAGCUUAGUUUUCGUGAUAUGUACUGCGCCCUCGCAAAAGUUGCGCAUAAAAGCCAAAAAUAAUUUCCUUCGUGAACAUGUUCUAUAGGAUAAAUGAGGAAAACUUCGGUGUUGCUUACACUAAAUGUAUCGCGAAGAUUAGUACGACGUGCAAAACCUAUGAAAAAUGAUGUUUUACGUUCGUUUAACUUGCCACUAUUCCACGAAAAAUUACCAGCGAACAUAUACGCAUCGAAGUCCUGUCGGGUAUAUUUGAGCAUUGUUGUAUUGGUGAUCGUUGGCUCAUCGGAAUAUCUGUAUUAAAACUUGAUCAACAACGUGGUGUACGUGGCUUUAAUUCUAGAGGUCAUUUGGAAGGAGAACUUCAAGAUCUGGGCAUUCCUUCCUGUGUCACUUAGAAUUUUCCGUUUGACCAGGACACGGAAUUAGCGUUCUUUUUUAAAGCUGCCGCUUGGUCAGCUGAAUGAAAUGAGUCCGAAGUAACAACGUCCCGUAGAAGCGCGUAGAGAAUGCACUCUACAGAGUAUGUAUUCUUAAAAUACAGGUUGAGUCACCGGCGAUAAAAGAUACUACAAUAAGUCUAAAAUGCUCUAUGAAUUGACCCUCCAUUGAAUUGAGUGUAUUCUAUGAGCGUAUGGGGUACGCGCCUUAUCUAGAACCUAAGACAAUAAAUGAUGAUUAUACAACAUACAAUUAAAGAAAAAUUUAUAAGUAUGUAUACCCUCAUAAUCACCGAGUUUAAAAAGGUGGUAUUUUAAUGGAAAAAAAGCGCUGCGAUGUUUAAAAUCCUAAAGGAAGGCAUUCAACACAAAUGGCAGUAAACUAAUAUUUGAAUAACGUCUCACGUACGUUACAUUCACGGAGCAAUGAUAUUUAGAGCGACCCAUAUCAUAACUAUAUUUCCGACUUAGCCGUUUUCCAGAACCAUGUAGAAGCGUUGGUUUACAUCCUGGAAACGACAAUAUUCGUGUCAUUAUCACGUGCCGUCCGAUUCAGAAGUGACAUUUCCAUUAGAAAAAGAGGAAAUAAAGAUAAGCCUAAAUUUUCAAUGUCGAAAUUUUUGCACAAGCUCGAAAAGCCUUGAUAACUUCAAAAAUAAUUCGACGUGUCUGUACGCAUGUCGUAUGAUACCAGUAGCUUUUAAUCGAUGACAUUCUAUUAUCUGGAUCUGUGACACACACAGCCUCGAUUUCACCUGUACCGUCUGCUUAGAGCAGUGUUUAUAAAAACAAGUCGUGUAAUCGAGACAUACACUCAUGAUGCCGACAACUUUCUGGGAUAACAGAAGAAAGAGAAAGUUAGUAAUAGAGAGAAAGAGAUAAAGAUAUAUAACGAGGAGCGAGCCAACAGUACGGCGUACGUGACCGACUGCACUACGUGUGGUGCCCACUCCCGCCGUUCGACGCCCGAGCUACCCGAAAGAUCGUUGCAAUUUCGGGAUCCUGACCUUCUCAGUCUACCACCGUGUCACCUCCCACCUUGCGCCUUGUUUUAGUACCAACCGAGGAGAUUGGAUGCCGAUAUUCGACCGGGAAUCCGACUAUGUACUCUUUCUCACCGAUACCGGCGCAGUAUCGUUUAUCGGAACUUCAUGACGAAACGGGGAAACUUGGCAGGCUGGCUGCAUUCAACAAUGACUAAUAUGAUUACGGCAAACAUUGCGGAAAACAAUGUCUCGUUUUAUACGGUCAAACGUACAGAUAACGUGAACCACUCUGACUCAUUUAAAUUUUACAUAAUUUGUCUCCCGCCUAAUGUUUUUUAAACAAAUGCUAAGUUAAUAUAUAAUUAUUAAUUUUUCCCUUGUUAUGUGAUCGUUCAACGGCUCUUCCGGAAAUUCGAAAUCAAAAUUUAAUUGUUCUGAUGUGUGUGGAAGGAAGUAAGUUUCGUAUGAAACUGUUUAAAUUUCUAACUAGAUAGCUUUUGAAGUACACCCAGCUACAUUUGAACUAAUGCAACUUCUAGAUUUCCUGUUCUCAUUUGAAAUCGGGGGUCUAAUUUCGUACGCGAUACUUGAUAUCAUGAGCUGCCUUUAUGAAAGAAGUUUACCUUGCCAAAACAUUCUAGAAAUUAAUGAACCAGUUUAUUCGUUUAUGCGUCCAAUUAGUUGAUGUUUUACGCAUAACCAAUGUUCGGUGAAAAUAAGUUUAAAAAUUGUUUACAACGAAAUACAUAGUUACAAUGUGCAAUGAACACCU
This is a non-coding RNA of Megalopta genalis, 2263 nucleotides long. The record is from RefSeq and is a predicted model, not a curated record. Lineage: Eukaryota; Metazoa; Arthropoda; Insecta; Hymenoptera; Halictidae.